Molecule: non-coding RNA, 130 nt
Filed under: unclassified sequences
Description: skipping-rope RNA
Rfam family: skipping-rope RNA
About the family: Firmicutes, Fusobacteria, AlphaProteobacteria, Spirochaetes. Downstream gene
Source: Rfam by way of RNAcentral
AAACUAAGAGGUGGAAAGUGACCUUCCAUACGCCUACGGUAUAGGAAACUAUACAAAGGGUGAUAGAAGCCCGUAACAGGUUAAGCUGACGAGGAUAAGAGAUUUCGGAAUUGGUCUCCGAACUUAGUAU